UUUUUUUUUUCAACUAACAAACUGGAUACACUCUGUGCCCUACACACUAUGACACAGCAGUGUGUCAAAAUUUCAUUGAUUAUAUAACUGCCUGUAUGGUCUACUGUGCUUUUGAUUAAUUUUUGAUUAGUUAAUUGCAUUAAUUUUUGAGAUCACUUUGAACAAAAGUUUUCCCUUUUUAAUAUUCACUCUUCUUGUCCAGGACAACAGCAUUCAAAUUUUGUAUAAUAAACAGUCAAUAAGCAUUUAUGAAAUGAAUAAAUAAAUGCCACCCGAUUAUUUUUUACAAUGCUCUUAAUAAAGGUCCUAACAUUUCUCUUCAAGGUUAUUUCAAAGCAUUUUGUGUUUUUGGUCAAUUAAAUCUUUUUCUUCCUGCAGAGUUUUCUAUUAAACUGUCACUAUUUACUAACUUAAAGGAUGCUGAGCAGAACUUUUUCCUUUGGCCAACAAUUGGCAGCAUAGGAACAACUUUUUAUGAAAACCCAAAGGAAGCUGUAAGUAAUUUUCAUUUUAAAGAGAAUUACUUGCAACAGGGCUAGAUCCUUCCACCCAACUAGUCAAGUGUGCCAAAACUGCACAAUACCACCGGAUCCAGUUCUCCUUCUACUAUCCCAUUUCUCUAAGUUGGCUGAAAAGCAUGCUAAGAAUUUCUUCUCACCUGGACAUUUCUGAAGAAGGCUGUCCUACUGGAGCAACUCAUACUGGGAAGGGACAACGGUGUGGUUAGCUGACAGGGACCAAAGGGAGACAAAACUGCUACUCUCCAACGAAAUGAGGGGUGGGCUUGAAACCAAGUUGAAAACUGUCCCCAAAUACUCUUAUCUUUACUGAGGACAUUCCUUUCUUGGCAAAGACUCCAAACACAUACAGAACCAAUUCAGAGUCACCACCCUCUCAUCCCUAUCUCAUUUAACAUCACCUGUUACUUAACACCUAUCAUAUCUCCUGUCUCUCCUUUGACCAUGCAUUCCAGACGAUUUAGAAGGGGUGGGGAGAGAUGUCCCCCAAACACACUUUUUCCCCACAAGACUCUGAAUGGGUAUACCGUGGUCUUUCCCCACUCAGGUCCCUCACUUAAAUUGGACUGUGGCUGGGUUUUAAAUAAGUUAUUAUUUGUGCUUAGUGUUUGGCACUUAUUAAAUAUACAAUCAAGGUAAUGAAUUUAUAAAUGUGAAGAAAGUUAUCCAAGCUUUAUCUCACAUGGGAACAAACCUAGUCAUUCUAUUUCCACUCUGGAAAAGAGGAUGCAAAAGACGUCACAACAAAAUGUUCCAAAAUAACAUUUAAUUAGAAUAGUAAAAUAUGAGCAAUAGCAAAUAAAAUGUCUUCAUUCCGACAGUUUUUUAAGAGGUUGAAACCAAAGCAUUUGCCCAGAAAGUUUUAUGUAUCUAGAUCUCAGACUGUACCUAUCAUGGUUUCUUUUUAGUUCAUCUAAUAAAUGGCCUAGCCACAAUGAGUUCAAACAAAUAUUUAAAUUAGAUGCCCAUUUAGUAAUUUUGGUUAAAUAUUUAUUUUUUGAUUCAUCUGUACUUUAGUACACUUGUGGAUAUUUUUCAAAGGGUAAAACAACUGCUAUAGUACCAUUUAAUGAUUUCAUUAAUAUAAAUUUGUUUGGGAAGCCAGGUUUAAGAUGGAGAACCCCCCCCCCCCCCCCCCGCCGGCGUGCAUGGUGUGCUAGUCUCUUCUGUGGCAGAUGCUCCAGGCCCCUGCCCCAGGACGUGCAGCCAUGUAUCUUCCCCGGCCUCUCCUCUCCGCACAAGGUAGGUGACCAGGUGUGCCACUGAAGGCUUUUCCUAGCGCCAGCCUUUUCUGUGACCACUGUUCUUCAAGGACACCUUAUGUGGUCCUAGAGUGUAUCAUGGUCCUUUUCUAUCUUGCACUUACCCAAGGGUCUGUGAGCCAAUUCUGACCUCUUCAGACUCCACUGGCUGGUCACCCAGGAGUAUCCUUGGGUGUGAUAUGGAAGGAAGGUACAGGUAGGACACUGGGGGCCUGAUAUGGCGGUUGGCCUGCUUACAUAGCUCGCUUUCACUUUCCGGUCCUGCUCUCACCUGGUCCUGGGGGCACCAUGUCCAGAUGGUAGGGCGAUCCAUCUUACGGGGUCUGCCUUUGGUUCUGCCUGACGGUAGGACUUGGUGGAUCUAAGGAGAUCCAGCUCAUGUUGGCUGGUCCCGGCGAGUGCCCAUCUGUUAUCCCACAGUUACAUCCCGUCUCUUCCAGGGUACAGCCGCAAGCCCAGAUAAAAUCUCUUCUUCAAAUGUGCAUGUGAUUCCGUGCUGCAGAUGGUUUGUCCUUGGUCCCAGAUCCUGGGUGUCCCCAUCAUGAUGGAGCAUUGCGAAGAACCACAUACAGCCUUUCUUUGGGCCACACUCAGUACUGAGUAAGAACAGGACUUUCCACGUGUGGAGUUGCUGCCUGAAGAGCCUGAGGAAACCUGACAAGUGUUGUGUUUCUUCCUGGUGCUGGGAAGUACUGUCCUAAUAAGUUGUUCUUAAUUUUGGAGAUGGUGCUCAGGCACGUCUAGACCUCUAGACACCUAAAUAACACUGAGUGUCUUUCAGAACACCUUCUCACUAGUGCAUUUCUUAUUAGGUUAAUAAAUUUAAUGUCCUUGGAGUGUUCUUCAAACAUAGUCAACUGGUGGGGUUUUGACCUCUUUGCUUUAUCCACUUUUAUUCCCACUGCUCUGAGUCUUUCAUCCUUCUUCUGCUACAUGCUCUGAAAUCCUGACACUUCAAUUCUCUUCACUUGGACCAUCACUCUUCCAAAACUUCUAGCAAAUUGAGCAGCAAAGGAGGACCAUGGACCCUGAGCCCUGAUGUGAGAUUCUUACCAGAGGAGUUUACUCCCAUUUCAUUACGUUCUUCCUCACUAACUUUGCAUGCAA
This 2887-nucleotide long non-coding RNA is filed under the name Canis lupus familiaris (dog). RNAcentral's name for it is "lncRNA (ENSCAFG00845008790.1)". The record is from RNAcentral. Lineage: Eukaryota; Metazoa; Chordata; Mammalia; Carnivora; Canidae.